Molecule: ribosomal RNA, 440 nt
Filed under: uncultured bacterium
Lineage: Bacteria
Description: partial 16S ribosomal RNA
Rfam family: Bacterial small subunit ribosomal RNA
Source: RNAcentral
CCUACGGGAGGCAGCAGUGGGGAAUAUUGCACAAUGGGGGAAACUCUGAUGCAGCAACGCCGCGUGAGUGAAGAAGUAUUUCGGUAUGUAAAGCUCUAUCAGCAGGGAAGAAGAUGACGGUAACUGAUUAAGAAUCCCCGGAUAACUACGUGCCAGCAGCCGCGGUAAUACGUAGGGGGAAAGCGUGAGCCGGAGUUACUGGGUGUAAAGGGAGCGCAGGCGGCAGUGCAAGUCUGGAGUGAAAGCCCGGGGCCCAACCCCGGAACUGCGCUGGAAACUGUGCGGCUAGAGUGCUGGAGGGGAGAGCGGAAUUCCGAGUGUAGCGGUGAAAUGCGUAGAUAUAAGGAGGAACACCAGUGGCGAAGGCGGCUUGCUGGACAGUAACUGACGUUGAGGCUCGAAAGCGUGGGGAGCAAACAGGAUUAGAUACCCUUGUAGUC